AUUCUACUCCCUCCGUUGCACAAUACAUGCCUUAUAUUUGUCAAAAUAUAUAUGUAUCUAGACAUGUUUUAGUAUAUAGGCACAUCCAUUUUUGGACAAAUGGAAGUCAAGUAUUUUGGAACGGAGGGAGUACACA
Triticum aestivum (bread wheat) is the source of this 136-nucleotide non-coding RNA. Lineage: Eukaryota; Viridiplantae; Streptophyta; Magnoliopsida; Poales; Poaceae. The record is from Rfam.